GUCUACGGCCAUACCACCCUGAAUGCGCCCGAUCUCGUCUGAUCUCGGAAGCUAAGCAGGGUCAAGCCUGGUUAGUCCUUAGAUGGGAAAAAUAUGGUAAUAUUCACCACCAAGAGAAUUAUAGUUACUAGAUU
Ribosomal RNA from Myotis lucifugus (little brown bat), 134 nucleotides. The record is from Ensembl. NCBI's taxonomy places the organism in Eukaryota, Metazoa, Chordata, Mammalia, Chiroptera, Vespertilionidae.